AAAAGUCCACCCCCCUACCCCACCAUAACCCAUUAUAUUAUGUAUCUAUAGGUCAGUAUAUACAAAUUUUCCGGCGAGUUAUGCUCCUUCUUAGUCGUCGUCUUAGCUGAGGUGCGGAAAUCCGGUGAGGUGAUGGCGGACGACGUCGUUCCGAAGACGUUCCGUGCGUUGGUAGAAAGUGCGGAGAAGAAAUAUGCAAGAGUACGGGAUUUACCGGCGUACGGACGGUGGGGAACGAGUAACCACUACUUUCACAAGGUGUUUAAGGCGUACAUGAGGUUAUGGAAGUAUCAGCAGGAGAACAGGAUGAGGCUUUUGGAGUGUGGAUUACAGCGUUGGGAGAUCGGAGAGAUCGCUUCACGGAUCGGUCAGCUUUACUUUAGUCAGUAUAUGAGGACUAGUGAAGCGAGGUUUUUACUCGAGUCGUGUAUUUUCUAUGAAGCGAUUUUGAACAGGAAGUAUUUUGAAGGUUCUGGAAAAGAUCGGAUGGUGAGGUUUAAGGAGCUGAGGUUCUAUGCCAGGUUUUUGAUGGUUUCGUUGAUUUUGAACCGGACGGAAAUGGUGAACCUGCUGGUUGAGCAGUUUAAAGCUAUUGUUGAUGACAGUAAAACUGCUUUUCCGGGUACUAACUUCAAAGAGUGGAGACUAGUGGUGCAAGAAAUAGUUAGAUUUGCAAGAGUUCAUUCUCCAUCUCCUGAUGCCAGGCCUUUGCGAUAUUGUGCUCUCUUUGAUUCACAUCCAUCAUCUCGUCCAUACGUGGCUCGCUUCCAUGCUAAGAAGGUGCUAAAGUUUCGAGAUGCACUGUUGACAAGUUAUCACAAAAAUGAGGCCAAAUUUGCAGAAUUAACUCUGGACACUUACAGAAUGCUGCAAUGCUUGGAAUGGGAACCCAGCGGAUCUUUCUAUCAAAGAAGUCCAGUUGAACCACGAGCAAAUGGUGCAGUGACUGACCAAUCUAUAACUUCUGGACUGAUUGACAUUAACUUGGCUGCUGAGAUGAUGGAUCCAGCUUUGCCUCCAAAUCCAAAGAAGGCCGUUCUUUACCGUCCUAAUGUUCCACUGUUGAUAUCUGUUGUCGCUACGAUGUGUGAGGAGCUCCCUCCAGAGAGUGUGGUAUUAAUAUAUAUUUCCGCAUCAGGAAACACAAUUCAGAAUACCACCUCGCACACAGAAAGCUCUUCUAGUUCUAGAAAAUCUUCGAAGAACAGUGUCUUUUCUCGUACUUCCCAUGAACAAAAGAGUGCUUUACAUGAAAAUUAUACCAACACCAAUGGAGAUACAGGUCAAUAUUUCGAGAGUUGUUUGUGCUUAGGUCCUAGCAGAAGUGGAGGUUCAAAUAACCUCUAUCCAGGCGAUCUUAUUCCUUUCACACGAAGACCUCUCUUCCUAAUAAUCGAUAGUGACAACAGCGAUGCAUUCAAGGCAGGUUCUACAUGGGGCAGAAAGAGGAGAAAAAAGUGCUUUGUUUCUCUCUCCUCUGAGGCCAUCAUUCAAGAACCCAGGCACUGAGGUAACACAAACUGGAAGUCAGUUCACGUUGUUCUUGGCUGCUCCCUUACAGGCUUUCCGCCAGUUGGUUGGCCUUGUCUCAUCUGAUGAGGAUAUGGAUUGUUCAGAUGCGGCUGAUGGCAUCAUCUCAACUGCAUUUGCAGAAUGGGAGGUAAUCCUCUGUACAUCGACUAACCUAGAUUUGGUUUGGGCUCAAGUUCUAUCUGACCCUUUUCUGAGACGGCUUAUUCUCAGAUUCAUAUUCUGUCGUGCUGUGCUUGGUCUAUUCUGCUUGCAUGAACGUGGCAAUGAGUAUUUGCCUGUUUGUCUCCCAAAGCUUCCUGAUACAUUCUCACCAGAUUCUGAAACUGUUCAACCAGCUAUCAGACGACUUGCAAGACUUCUAAAAGUUGGAGAUUGUUUUCGAUUUUGACAUUCAUGAGACGUGAAUCGUGAUAUAUGGUGCUCCCUUUAUGAUGUAAAGAGAUCCAGAAACUUACCAGUCAGACGCCACCCUGGUUACCAAAGUGCUGGCUGGAAGUACGAAUGCAUUCUUUUUAGGUGAUCGGUUUACUUAGUUUACAUCAAAAUAUCUUCUUAUUUCAUGUGCAGAAUUUUCGGGGUUUUCUUCAUUAUUUAGGCUUUCUAUAGCAAGCAUUUGGUUGGUGAUACUGUGCAUUUCUAAUAGAAGGGGUCAGUCGAGUUUUUGUGUUCAGUUCUUUUUGUUCCUACAGGAAUUAGUGCUAAUUUGUUCAUAUGUAUGCUGUAUUAUAGAAGCUGUCGGUUGAAUUCUUUAAUUAGAGGCUGAGCAAUUUCUCUUCCAA
Solanum lycopersicum (tomato) is the source of this 2312-nucleotide RNA transcript. RefSeq lists it as uncharacterized. The record is from RefSeq and is a predicted model, not a curated record. Lineage: Eukaryota; Viridiplantae; Streptophyta; Magnoliopsida; Solanales; Solanaceae.